UUUGUCAACUUCUAGUCCCCAGUUCACUCACCAUCAGUUGGACACACAGGAACACGUGGUGCUACUAACAUCAGCACAAUCAGAAGGAUCCAAACAUGACAGAAGGGGUUGGCAUUUCAAUUUCCACCAUACCAACAUCAGAUGCCACUCCAUGGACACCACAAGGUCUGAAUCUGUGCCUAGUAGGAGCACAGUGGUCCUCUCGGUUUGGCCAGAGGACGAUAGGAAUGGAGCUGUGUGUCGGCGGGGAUUUGGAUGUAGACAGUCAAGGGGUCCAUCUCUCUACGUCCGGUCCCCAUCUACUCAACAUCAACUGGACACACAAGCAGACUUGGCGCUACUACACCCAGUGCAAUGAUGUGAAGGACACCGCAUAGGAAGACAACAGGUGGUAUAUUUUAGGGAUCACGUCAACAUCUCGAGCCACAUCAUCUAUGCUCUCCAUCAUCUAUUCCUGUACACUAAGAGGAUGACAGGACAGGAAAUGUGUGUCAGUGGGGACUUGGAUUUAGACAGGUAGGUCGUUAACGGAGUUCGCUCAACAUCAGUUGGACGCACAGGUAGAGUAUGGGUCCAUUUAACACGCCUUGCUGCCACACACACACACAUUGUAUAAUGUUUUAGUGUUCUUUGCUUCACAGUCAGAGGAUCCAGCUGUCUGUUUCCGGUCCCCGAUUACUCAACAUCAACUGGACACACAGAAAAACAUCGCUACCUGUGCUCUACGAGAGCACACUACCCCUCUAGGACCACAACAGAAGGAAAUGUGUGUCGGUGGGGACUUGGGUUUGGACAGUUGAGGGACCUAUCUGUCUGCUCCCAGUCCCCAUGUACUGACCACCAACUGGACACACAGGCAUGCACGCCCCAACACCACAAAAUAUCCGGCCGUAGAGAAAAAGCAUUCCAGCACGGAAUCAGAGGAGCUGGAAAGUUUGGCCUAUUACUUCAACCACAUCAGGACCGAACACAUCAAUCAGACAUGACCGGUGUCUGGAAGUGAGGACUGAGAACCCACCCCGCUGGUUACAACUCCAGCAGGUGAAAAAGAACGGAAGUGUGUGUCAGUGGGGAGUUGUAUUCAGACAGGUUCCAUACGUCUGUUUCCACUCCCCAUUCAAUCAACAUCAAUUGGACACACACAAGGACAGUCUCAGUAUGAAGAUAAGGAUUUAAAUAAGGAUAAGGAAAAAAUAAAUCUCAUUUUUUUCCAACCUCAACCAAAUUGGAACCCAUUUUUUGCCUCAAGACCAAAUAAACUCUCAUUGUUGUAAACUGU
Long non-coding RNA from Sardina pilchardus (European sardine), 1279 nucleotides. RefSeq lists it as uncharacterized. The transcript has 4 exons. NCBI's taxonomy places the organism in Eukaryota, Metazoa, Chordata, Actinopteri, Clupeiformes, Clupeidae. The record is from RefSeq and is a predicted model, not a curated record.